Molecule: unclassified non-coding RNA, 23 nt
Filed under: Mus musculus (house mouse)
Lineage: Eukaryota; Metazoa; Chordata; Mammalia; Rodentia; Muridae
Description: oocyte_clustered_small_RNA9114
Source: RNAcentral
UGUCAGUGUAAUGAGGAGAACAG